AACGAACGCUGGCGGCAGGCCUAACACAUGCAAGUCGAGCGCUCUCUUCGGAGGGAGCGGCGGACGGGUGAGUAACACGUGGGAACGUGCCCAAAGGUACGGGAUAGUCGAUGGAAACGUCGCUUAAUACCGUAUGUGCCCCUUCGGGGGGAAAGAUUUAUCGCCUUUGGAUCGGCCCGCGUCUGAUUAGGUAGUUGGUGAGGUAACGGCUCACCAAGCCGACGAUCAGUACCUGGUUUGAGAGGAUGAUCAGGCACACUGGGACUGAGACACGGCCCAG
RNAcentral lists this ribosomal RNA (280 nucleotides) under uncultured bacterium. RNAcentral's name for it is "partial 16S ribosomal RNA". It matches the Rfam family "Bacterial small subunit ribosomal RNA", at positions 29 to 334 of the family's 1533-position model. The record is from RNAcentral.